AUCUUUUUUGUGGUUCAUAAGCAUGAUGAUUGGGUUUUCAUGCCACUGUGUGAGAUAUGCCUUUCUCAGACCUUGCUAAAACACUGGCACAGUACCUAUCUGAUA
Small nucleolar RNA from Macaca fascicularis (crab-eating macaque), 105 nucleotides. The record is from Ensembl. NCBI's taxonomy places the organism in Eukaryota, Metazoa, Chordata, Mammalia, Primates, Cercopithecidae.